This is a long non-coding RNA of Panicum virgatum (switchgrass), 1257 nucleotides long. RefSeq lists it as uncharacterized. NCBI's taxonomy places the organism in Eukaryota, Viridiplantae, Streptophyta, Magnoliopsida, Poales, Poaceae. The transcript has 5 exons. The record is from RefSeq and is a predicted model, not a curated record.
CAUCUCCUCUCACAUCAGAAUAAAAGAGCAUCUCUUCUCCAGUACUCCAAUGUGAACUCUGACUGCAACUCUAAGAGGCUAGCAUUUUAAAGCACAACUGAACACCAAGUAGCAGGUGUGUGGCAGCUGCUGACGCCAACAUCAGUUUCCAAGAAUGGAAAAGCUUCUCAUUCUUUUUUCCAUCUGGCUACUACUACAACUCACAAUGCUCUUCCAUCCACCAAUAAAAGAAGUGCUACUAGACAGCCUCUCUCCCGUGGACUCUCUUCUCCCUGCCUCUAUACCUUCCAAACUAGAAGAAAUAGGCUCCAUGGAGCAAAACCCACAGCUCCCCUUCCCAACCAGCAAACCCAUGGAAGCAACUACUAAGAAGUCCACUAGAUUCACCAAAAUGCACACCAUUCCGAGGUGCAUACCAUCUGAUCUAGCAAUGAGAGCAACUCGAUCAUCUCUACAUGAAAUAGAAGAGGAAACAGAGCUUCUACAAUUUACUAUAGCAGUCAUCUUGUCCACCAUCCUCUCUCUACUGUUUGAGACCUUACUCAUGCUGUUCAAUACCUUCUACCCUGAUAAGGCAGCCUGCAUAUAUAAAUACAUCACCAUGCCUAUUGCAACUAUUACCGAUCAUCUACCUGGCCCUCUAGAGAAGACCAAACCUCAUCUGAUACCAUUCUACCAAGAUCUAUGCCGUGCAAUUACAUCGGGAACUCUUGUGUGGAUAUUAGCAUUUUGGUUUCUCAUGCCAUCUACUGAAGGUUCAUUCCAACUUAGAUUUAAGAACUCCAUCCUAAUUCAUAUCAUCGCUACUGUGGUACUACACAUUGGCAAAGCAAUAAGCUAUAUUUGGUUCAAGAGUAUUGCUUUAAUUGCCAAUCACUUGAAAGAGAAGACAAAUGUUUGUUCAAAUGGAGAAGAGCCAUCUACUGAAGCCACUCAAACCAUUAAUGCACCUACUACUGUCUGAGGUAUUUGCAUUAUCUUUGCUGCAAGUAAUCAAUGUUUCCAAAAAAAAAAGCAGAACUUCAUCAAGUUACAAGCAGCAACAAUGCAUCUUAGUUUAUUUUAUCCAAGUUAGAAUAUGCAGUACCGCAGUGGAAACCCACUUUGGUAGAACGCGGUAUAAAUGCACAUCCCUCUUAGUGAUGAUUAGCAGUAACAAUAGCUGAAUCAUUCUGCAAGUAUUAGCUGUCAUUGUACUUUGAAGAACUCUAGCACUGUCUACACUCUGUGUACUAAGCUAAUAUUAUCAUGCACUAA